ACUCCGCCUCUCCCACAGCGGCGGCGGCGGCGGUGGUGGUGAUGGUGGUGGUGGUGGUGGAGGCUGCCUUCCUCCUCCUUCCCUCCUGUGGAUCUCCUCUCCUUCACUUUCACCGAGGAUGAAGAUGACAGCAGACGCUGGUUGGAGUCGCCUUUAAAGAAGGGGACCCACUUGAUGCCGAUCCACCAGAGGAUGAACAUGGUGCAGUGAUGGUAGACGUGGAGGAAGCUGACCUGGGUGAACUUCUUCCUCAGGAUGAAAAACGCUGUAUCCAAGAAUUCCACUCCUUUGGAGACGUAGUACCACCAAAGAGCAGAUGCUAUCUGUAAAUGGAAAUAGUGAAUGACGACAGGAUUACAUCUUUGAUUAAAGCCCGACAGACCACAAUCAAAUGCAAGAAUAAAAAUGAUGAAAGGAACAGAGAAAAGUGCCUGAAACUGACUGUCGAUACAACUGGUUGACAGGCUGACAGAGGUAGCUGUAUCCUGCUGAUCUGGUGGCUAUAAGGAGCUGACGAGAAACCACAGAACAUUAAAGAGGAGAAGUGCAUUGAAACAUCCCAACGCUACCAACAGGAGGAUGCUUGUAAUAAGGACACUGAGCAAGUUAUUUCAGGUGAAAUAUCCUUGGACCCCGCAGCUGAGAUUGGCAUAAAAAAGUGGUAGAAGAUGGAUGGAUUCUCCUUUAGAAACUAUCCUCUACUCCAAACAGCAGAAACUUCUAAGUGAGCGAAUGACAGAACUACAAGUUUCUAUAUAUUUGUAAUUUGUUGAAGAAAUUAGAGCACACUCACAUCCUUAUGGCAUUGUUUCACUGCUUAGCUGUCACACUACAGUGUCUUUCGCUCUUUAUUUUCAGUUGUAACAUUGGACUGAGCAGCUGUGUUACACUCAUGAACGGCCAUAUUUGUUCAUCGAUUCAUGGCGGCGCUUCAGUG
Long non-coding RNA from Solea solea (common sole), 937 nucleotides. RefSeq lists it as uncharacterized. Lineage: Eukaryota; Metazoa; Chordata; Actinopteri; Pleuronectiformes; Soleidae. The transcript has 4 exons. The record is from RefSeq and is a predicted model, not a curated record.